This 562-nucleotide ribosomal RNA is filed under the name uncultured archaeon. Its description in RNAcentral is "bacterial SSU rRNA". It matches the Rfam family "Archaeal small subunit ribosomal RNA", at positions 25 to 589 of the family's 1478-position model. The record is from RNAcentral.
UACUGCUAUCAGUGUUCGAUUAAGCCAUGCGAGUUAAAUGUUCUUCGUGAACAUGGCGUACUGCUCAGUAACACGUGGAUAACCUGCCCUAAGGUCCGGCAUAACCCCGGGAAACUGGGGAUAAUACCGGAUAAACCAUAGAUACUGGAAUGUUCUGUGGUUAAAAGUUCCGGCGCCUUAGGAUGGAUCUGCGGCCUAUCAGGUAGUAGUGGGUGUAAAGUACCUACUAGCCGACGACGGGUACGGGUUGUGAGAGCAAGAGCCCGGAGAUGGAUUCUGAGACAUGAAUCCAGGCCCUACGGGGCGCAGCAGGCGCGAAAUCUUUACAAUGCGGGAAACCGCGAUAAGGGGACACUGAGUGCCAGCAUAUUAUGCUGGCUGUCCACCUGUAUAAAUCACAGGUGUUAGCAAGGGCCGGGCAAGACCGGUGCCAGCCGCCGCGGUAACACCGGCGGCCCGAGUGGUAGCCACUAUUAUUGGGUCUAAAGGGUCCGUAGCCGGUUUGAUCAGUCUUCCGGGAAAUCUGACAGCUCAACUGUUAGGCUUCCGGGGGAUACUGUCA